RNAcentral lists this ribosomal RNA (459 nucleotides) under uncultured bacterium. Its description in RNAcentral is "partial 16S ribosomal RNA". It matches the Rfam family "Bacterial small subunit ribosomal RNA", at positions 338 to 795 of the family's 1533-position model. The record is from RNAcentral.
CCUACGGGUGGCAGCAGUGAGGAAUAUUGGUCAAUGGCCGGAAGGCUGAACCAGCCAAGCCGCGUGAAGGACGAAGGUGCCAAGCAUUGUAAACUUCUUUUGUCAAGGGACAAAAUCAGGCUCGAGAGCCUGACCGAGGGUACUUGAAGAAAAAGCAUCGGCUAACUCCGUGCCAGCAGCCGCGGUAAUACGGAGGAUGCGAGCGUUAUCCGGAUUUAUUGGGUUUAAAGGGUGCGUAGGCGGACAGUCAAGUCAGCGGUAAAAAUGCGGUGCUCAACGCCGUACAGCCGUUGAAACUGGCAGUCUUGAGUGGGCGAGAAGUAUGCGGAAUGCGUGGUGUAGCGGUGAAAUGCAUAGAUAUCACGCAGAACUCCGAUUGCGAAGGCAGCAUACCGGCGCCCGACUGACGCUGAGGCACGAAAGCGUGGGUAUCGAACAGGAUUAGAUACCCGAGUAGUC